RNAcentral lists this ribosomal RNA (362 nucleotides) under Alexandrium tamarense. RNAcentral's name for it is "partial Bacterial large subunit ribosomal RNA". It matches the Rfam family "Bacterial large subunit ribosomal RNA", at positions 1112 to 1481 of the family's 2925-position model. The record is from RNAcentral. Lineage: Eukaryota; Dinophyceae; Gonyaulacales; Pyrocystaceae.
GCAGCCAUCAUUUAAAGAAAGCGUAAUAGCUCACUGAUCGAGUCGUCCUGCGCGGAAGAUGUACCGGGGCUAAACAUACCACCGAAGCUGCGGCUGCGAAUUUAUUCGCGGGGUAGGGGAGCGUUCUGUAAGCUGUUGAAGGUGUGUCGGGAGGCAUGCUGGAGGUAUCAGAAGUGCGAAUGCUGACAUGAGUAACGAUAAAGCGGGUGAAAAACCCGCUCGCCGGAAGACCAAGGGUUCCUAUCCCAUGCUAAUCAGGGUAGGGUGAGUCGACCCCUAAGGCGAGGCCGAAAGGCGUAGUCGAUGGAAAACAGGUUAAUAUUCCUGUACUUCUUGUAAUUGCGAUGGGGUGACGGAGAAGG